This 253-nucleotide ribosomal RNA is filed under the name uncultured bacterium. RNAcentral's name for it is "partial 16S ribosomal RNA". It matches the Rfam family "Bacterial small subunit ribosomal RNA", at positions 524 to 776 of the family's 1533-position model. The record is from RNAcentral.
UACGAAGGGGGCUAGCGUUGCUCGGAAUCACUGGGCGUAAAGGGUGCGUAGGCGGGUCUUUAAGUCAGGGGUGAAAUCCUGGAGCUCAACUCUAGAACUGCCUUUGAUACUGAAGAUCUUGAGUUCGGGAGAGGUGAGUGAAACUGCGAGUGUAGAGGUGAAAUUCGUAGAUAUUCGCAAGAACACCAGUGGCGAAGGCGGCUCACUGGCCCGAUACUGACGCUGAGGCACGAAAGCGUGGGGAGCAAACAGG